CCUCUCAUGGCGUAGUGGUAACUCGCCCCAACUAGAGAUCGGGGAGUCGUGAGUUCGAUUCUCACUGAGAAGA
RNAcentral lists this transfer RNA (73 nucleotides) under Aedes aegypti (yellow fever mosquito). It matches the Rfam family "tRNA". Rfam says of the family: Transfer RNA (tRNA) molecules are approximately 80 nucleotides in length. The record is from Rfam by way of RNAcentral. Lineage: Eukaryota; Metazoa; Arthropoda; Insecta; Diptera; Culicidae.